ACUCCCGUCGCCGGAGGAGCCCUCUUGGGUGCUGGAGGGAAGGAAGGCAGGGAUGGAUGAACAGAUGAGAGGGCUGCAGUGUGUGUUAACUAAGACAUUGAGUCACUUGAUCAGUGAAUACUUAUUAACCAUCUUUUAUAUGAUGGUUUGUAAAAGCUGCACAAUGACUGGCCAGUGACACACUCAAUAAUUGGGGUCACCCAGGCCCUGCCUUCCAGGAGUGCACAGGCUGGCUGCUCGGAUACAGGUGCUCCCUCUGCGUUCUGAAAAUCUAAGAAAUGAAAACAACAGGUUGUGUCAGCCAUCCAUUUCUGUAGAAUAACUACUUCAAAACUUAGUGGCUUUAAACACCAACAAUGUAUUAUUUCUCAUGAUUUUGUGCGGUUCUGCUCCCCAUGGCACUGCUGAGGUGUUUUUAUUCAUGCAGCCACAUUCAGGGGGAUCCUUGGCUGGGGCUGUUUUCUCCAUGAAGUGUCGCAUCCUCCUGUGUCCCUAGCAGGAUAGCCUGGACUCUCAUGCAGCACAGCAACUGCACCCAAGAGGGAACAUUCCAAGAGGACAAGCCCUGUUGUGGAAAAGUGGAUCCAGCCUGCUUGUAUCAAUGCACCUCAUUCCGGAUAUUAUUUGCUUUGUCUCUUAAUCUACAAUGAGCAUUUUCUCUGGGAGUAAAUAUUCUUUCCAGCCUGAAUUUUAAUGGCUGGCCGAUGGUCCAUCAUUGACUUAACCAGUCCCCUAUUGAUGAAUAUUUAUCAUCAUAUAAAAGGUGGCUUUCAUUUGGAGGCAGUUACAAACAACUUCGCAAAGAUCGACUUCGUACCAAGAACUCGGUACAAAUCCUUGGAGGAGAGGGAUGACAGGCUCAAAGGACAGGGGCAUUUUUAAGACUGCCAAGUCAUUCUUCAAAACCAUCGUCCAUGUUGCACUUCUACCAGCUGUAAAGGGACCCACCCGUUUCACAGUC
Molecule: non-coding RNA, 961 nt
Organism: Miniopterus natalensis
Lineage: Eukaryota; Metazoa; Chordata; Mammalia; Chiroptera; Miniopteridae
Source: RefSeq, a predicted model, not a curated record